Molecule: long non-coding RNA, 593 nt
Organism: Amborella trichopoda
Lineage: Eukaryota; Viridiplantae; Streptophyta; Magnoliopsida; Amborellales; Amborellaceae
Source: RefSeq, a predicted model, not a curated record
CGUUCAUUUCAAGGUCAUGUGGAUCAUAGGAUACCUACCCCUCCGAAAACAAGUGGGGUGGGCGGUCAGAGUCGAUGGCUCUAACCAGAGGCUCGAAUAUUUAGAGAGAGAGAACAGCUCGAGUUUCAGAGAGAAAAUUAGGGUUUCUUGGUUGUUGAGUUUGUGCAAAGCUAGGCUUUUCUAGAGGAUACACAAAAUCUAGGGUUUGAGAGAGUGGAGAACGCUGCGUUUAAGUGAUCGAAACAGAGAGGAAAAGCUAGGGUUUUAGAGAACGAGAAGAUGUUGGAGCUCUUUCUGCUUGGUUGUACUGGUGUGGUGGUUUUCCUCCAUGGAGCUAAUUUCUUCUUCCAUUUUCUCGCUCAACAUGUUGCUGUUCGAUCACUGAGUUUUCUUGGAUUUGGUGGAUGGUAGAAGAAAUGAAGUUGGGUUGUAGGCUCAUGCGCCACCCCUAUUUAUUGCUACAUGCCUCAGCACAAAUGUAAAUAUUGCUUGCUUCUCUACGUAAUAAAACACCCUUUACAAAAGCAGGGAAGUGAGAGGGUUUCGGUUUAAUACGAGAUGCAUUUUGAGAAAUAAAGAUUGUUUUUUGCUCA